UUCGAAGAAACAAAAGACACCCUACCUCCUCUCUCUCUCUCGAUCGACCGCAGGAGCUAUUGGCGAACACUACAGAGAGGUGCGGAUCGGCGAACACGGCUUUGUAAUCUGAGAGCAGCAGUGAUUCGUCGUCGGUUGCGGGUUUAGAGGUGUAGAUUCAAGCAGAGAUUGGCCAGGCAUGGGCCAGAUCUGGCACAGUUGGCGGACCAGGUCGAAUGUUUUUUAUUUGUAAGUUAAUUAUAAUUAUCAUGAACAUUAAAUAUUUAAUACAAAUAUGACUUUUAAUAUUAAUGUCUUGAUUAAUAAAAUUAUCUAAAUUUUUUCCCCUGUUUUUUAAAUAUUUUUUUAUAUAAGUUUCCCUUUUAUUGAAUUUUAGUUAUUUUAUAAAUUUAGAUUUAAAUUAUUGAAUACUUAAAUUAAUAUAUGAGCCUGCGGGAUCGAGCUAGGUUAACACAAGCAAAGUUCAUCCUGGGUCUAGAUUAUUUAGGUGUGGCAAACUGCCCAACAGGCCAUGCCGAGCAAGGCUCGUUUCAAGCUAGGUGAAGUCUAAGUCGAGCAUUGAAUAGAAAAGAAAUUGGUUCAUUAGGCCUAUGUCAUGCCCGAUUCAAGCAUGGUCCGUUGAGACAUCUAGUUAGGUUUGAUUGGUGUAGUCUUGACUUAGCAACCCAAAGCAUGUCAGCCAACUCAUUUGAUGCCUCAAUUGACUUUAUUGGAGCAAAAGGUGAAAUCGUCACCUUCGCAACCCCUCCAGGGCCACCCCACAUUCUUUCAAAGGAGGUAAAUCACGGGGGCAUUUAUCCUAGCACAAGGCCCUUUGCAUGGGGAGGUAAGGCAACCUCAAUUGCCUUUAUUGAACCUUCUAUCAACACCACUUUCACUGCUUGCAUAUUUUGUUGAUGACAGACAUGAUCAGUCCUUAAAGACACAGUCAGGCCCCUUUUGUUGAAACAGUAUCAAUCUAAUGGAAUGGACAAUUUGGUUCACACUUGAAAAAAAAGAAGAAAACAGAAAAAGAGAGUAUCAGUGUAUAUCUUACCUGUGUGAAUCAUAUGUAGACUGAAAAAAGUUUCUCUAAAAUUGUGACUCUUGAAAAGCAUUGCGAAACCCU
Long non-coding RNA from Zingiber officinale, 1108 nucleotides. RefSeq lists it as uncharacterized. The transcript is spliced from 2 exons. Lineage: Eukaryota; Viridiplantae; Streptophyta; Magnoliopsida; Zingiberales; Zingiberaceae. The record is from RefSeq and is a predicted model, not a curated record.